RNAcentral lists this ribosomal RNA (274 nucleotides) under uncultured bacterium. Its description in RNAcentral is "partial 16S ribosomal RNA". It matches the Rfam family "Bacterial small subunit ribosomal RNA", at positions 523 to 796 of the family's 1533-position model. The record is from RNAcentral.
AUACGGAGGGUGCAAGCGUUACUGGGAAUCACUGGGCGUAAAGCGCGCGCAGGCGGGCUGAUAAGUUGGAUGGGAAAGCCUACGGCUCAACCGUAGAACUGCAUCCAAAACUGUCAGUCUAGAGUCUGGGAGGGGAAGAUGGAAUUAGUUGUGUAGGGGUAAAAUCCGUAGAGAUAACUAGGAAUACCAAAAGCGAAGGCGAUCUUCUGGAACAGUACUGACGCUGAGGCGCGAAAGCGUGGGGAGCAAACAGGAUUAGAAACCCUAGUAGUCC